RNAcentral lists this ribosomal RNA (675 nucleotides) under uncultured bacterium. RNAcentral's name for it is "bacterial SSU rRNA". It matches the Rfam family "Bacterial small subunit ribosomal RNA", at positions 125 to 818 of the family's 1533-position model. The record is from RNAcentral.
CCUGCCUUACACAGGGGGAUAACAACCGGAAAUGGCUGCUAAUACCGCAUAAGCGCACAGUAUCGCAUGAUACGGUGUGAAAAACUCCGGUGGUAUAGGAUGGGCCCGCGUCUGAUUAGCUAGUUGGUGAGGUAGAAGCUCACCAAGGCCACGAUCAGUAGCCGGCUUGAGAGAGUGACCGGCCACAUUGGGACUGAGACACGGCCCAAACUCCUACGGGAGGCAGCAGUGGGGAAUAUUGCACAAUGGGGGAAACCCUGAUGCAGCGACGCCGCGUGAGUGAAGAAGUAUUUCGGUAUGUAAAGCUCUAUCAGCAGGGAAGAUAAUGACGGUACCUGACUAAGAAGCCCCGGCUAACUACGUGCCAGCAGCCGCGGUAAUACGUAGGGGGCAAGCGUUAUCCGGAUUUACUGGGUGUAAAGGGAGCGUAGGCGGCUUGGCAAGUCUGAUGUGAAAGCCCGUUGCUUAACAGCGGGAUUGCAUCAGAAACUACAUUACUAGAGUGCAGGAGAGGUAAGUGGAAUUCCUAGUGUAUCGGUGAAAUGCGUAGAUAUUAGGAGGAACAUCAGUGGCGAAGGCGGCUUACUGGGAUAAUACUGACGCUCAGGUACGAAAGCGUGGGGAGCAAACAGGGUUAAAUACCCUGGUAGUCCACGCCCUAAACGAUGUCAACUA